Molecule: transfer RNA, 73 nt
Filed under: Stegodyphus mimosarum
Lineage: Eukaryota; Metazoa; Arthropoda; Arachnida; Araneae; Eresidae
Rfam family: tRNA
About the family: Transfer RNA (tRNA) molecules are approximately 80 nucleotides in length. Their secondary structure includes four short double-helical elements and three loops (D, anti-codon, and T loops).
Source: Rfam by way of RNAcentral
GCCUUCGGGGUGUAGUGGUCAGCACGCUCGACGCGUAACUGAGAGGUCCGUGGUUCGAGUCCCGGCGAAGGUA